UGCACAGACGAUAUCUGCAUUCAGCAGUUUAUUCCUGCUGCGUGUGCAAAGGACAGUGUGAUACAAAUUCAGUAUCUAGCAUCACUGGUUUUCUUGGCUUUGUGCAUGUUAAGCCUGGUAUUUUUUUUUUUAUUGAC
Molecule: small nucleolar RNA, 137 nt
Organism: Phyllostomus discolor (pale spear-nosed bat)
Lineage: Eukaryota; Metazoa; Chordata; Mammalia; Chiroptera; Phyllostomidae
Product: small nucleolar RNA SNORA8
Exons: 1
Source: RefSeq, a predicted model, not a curated record